AGGACGAACGCUGGCGGCGUGCUUAACACAUGCAAGUCGAGCGGAAAGGCCCUUCGGGGUACUCGAGCGGCGAACGGGUGAGUAACACGUGAGUAACCUGCCCCUAGCUCUGGGAUAGCUCCGGGAAACCGGGAUUAAUACCAGAUACGACCACUUUAGACAUCUGUCGUGGUGGAAAGGAUUCCGGCUAGGGAUGGGCUCGCGGCCUAUCAGCUUGUUGGUGGGGUAACGGCCUACCAAGGCGACGACGGGUA
Molecule: ribosomal RNA, 254 nt
Filed under: uncultured bacterium
Lineage: Bacteria
Description: partial small subunit ribosomal RNA
Rfam family: Bacterial small subunit ribosomal RNA
Source: RNAcentral